This 242-nucleotide unclassified non-coding RNA is filed under the name Hevea brasiliensis (rubber tree). The record is from RNAcentral. Lineage: Eukaryota; Viridiplantae; Streptophyta; Magnoliopsida; Malpighiales; Euphorbiaceae.
AUUGUAUGGUUUUAUUGAUAACAUGUUUGGAAAAAUGGUAUGGUACACCAUGAUUUAAUAAUCAAAAAAAACCAUACAAUAUCAUACAAUACAGUACGAUAUGAUAUAUUAAUAAAUCACGCUACACUCAAUCCAAAUAGGGUAAAGGAAUUUAACUUGAAAAUUAUCUUAUUUCAUUAAUACUUUUCCUUGGCUUCCACAGACCACUGGAUAGUAUUCCACGUACAAAACCUUGACAUGGU